AAUGGUAGGGUGAUGAUCAGAAAAUCCUAUUUUCACCAUUCUCCUCAGCCAUUGCCUGGCUUUGGCUGCUCGGGGUCUGACACAUAUUAGUGGGGGAAACCAUCCUUUUCUGCAGUGCUUGGUGCCCAUCAUGGAGGCUGCUCUCCCUCCCUCCUCUGGUGCAGAUUGUGCUCAGCCUGUCCUGGCUUCCCCUUCUCAGUGAUGCUGCUGUUGCUGCUCUUGCUUGCUGAUGACAGUCACAGUGGGCCUGCACACCUGGAGCUACAGAGGCAGUGUCAGAGAUGGAAGAUGUCCUGUCAGAGAUGGACGAUGUCUUCAGGAGAUGGAGGAAACUAUAUUUAGGGAGUUAAAGCCUCCCAUCAUCACCCAAUGCUGAUUCAAACCCCUUUCGGUGGACUGACCAAAGAAGACCUCAUCCUCAUCUGCCUUUAUCAUAUCUAGUGAUCUAGCAAUGAUGUCAUCAUGCUCUUUUCCCCUUUCCCCUUAUCUCAAAUCCUCUCUACCAAUUGGCCUUCUGUUCCUUGGGUCUCUCUGAGAGUAAAUGUUUUACAAAACCACAGUACCCCUCUUUUUUUCCCUGCUUGUCUUUCCUAAACUACUUAUACUCUU
Long non-coding RNA from Ornithorhynchus anatinus (platypus), 609 nucleotides. RefSeq lists it as uncharacterized. The record is from RefSeq and is a predicted model, not a curated record. The transcript is spliced from 3 exons. Lineage: Eukaryota; Metazoa; Chordata; Mammalia; Monotremata; Ornithorhynchidae.